This is a non-coding RNA of Ilex paraguariensis (yerba mate), 102 nucleotides long. The record is from the annotation of a GenBank genome assembly. NCBI's taxonomy places the organism in Eukaryota, Viridiplantae, Streptophyta, Magnoliopsida, Aquifoliales, Aquifoliaceae.
GUGAUGAUACCAGCACUAAUGCACCGGAUCCCAUCAGAACCCCACAGUUAAGUGUGCAUAGGCGAGAGUAGUAAUAGGAUGGGUGACCCUUUUGAAGUCUUC